This 745-nucleotide ribosomal RNA is filed under the name uncultured bacterium. RNAcentral describes it as "bacterial SSU rRNA". It matches the Rfam family "Bacterial small subunit ribosomal RNA", at positions 8 to 796 of the family's 1533-position model. The record is from RNAcentral.
AGAGUUUGAUCAUGGCUCAGAGCGAACGCUGGCGGCAGGCCUAACACAUGCAAGUCGAGCGCCCGUAGCAAUACGGGAGCGGCAGACGGGAGAGUAACACGUGGGAACGCGCCCUUCGGUUCGGAAUAACUCAGGGAAACUUGAGCUAAUACCGGAUACGCCCUUACGGGGAAAGAUUUAUUGCCGAAGGAACGGCCCGCGUCCGAUUAGCUAGUUGGUGAGGUAAUGGCUCACCAAGGCGACGAUCGGUAGCUGGUCUGAGAGGAUGACCAGCCUCACUGGGACUGAGACACGGCCCAGACUCCUACGGGAGGCGGCAGUGGGGAAUAUUGGACAAUGGGCGCAAGCCUGAUCCAGCCAUGCCGCGUGGAUGAUGAAGGCCCUAGGGUUGUAAAGUCCUUUUAACGGGGAAGUUAAUGACGGUACCCGUAGAAUAAGCCCCGGCUAACUUCGUGCCAGCAGCCGCGGUAAUACGAAGGGGGCUAGCGUUGCUCGGAAUUACUGGGCGUAAAGCGCACGUAGGCGGCUUUGCAAGCCAGAGGUGAAAUGCCUGAGCUCAACUCAGGAAUGGCCUUUGGGACUGCGAGGCUUUGAGGACUGGAGAGGUGAGUGGAAUUCCCAGUGUAGAGGUGAAAUUCGUAGAUAUUGGGAAGAACACCGGUGGCGAAGGCGGCUCACUGGCCAGUUUCUGACGCUGUAGCGCGAAAGCGUGGGGAUCAAACAGGAUUAGAUACCCUAGUAGUCC